UGGCCCCCGCGGUGCAUUAGCUAGUUGGUAAGGUAAAGGCUUACCAAGGCGAUGAUGCAUAGCCGAGUUGAGAGACUGAUCGGCCACAUUGGGACUGAGACACGGCCCAAACUCCUACGGGAGGCAGCAGUAGGGAAUCUUCCACAAUGGACGCAAGUCUGAUGGAGCAACGCCGCGUGAGUGAAGAAGGUUUUCGGAUCGUAAAGCUCUGUUGUUGGUGAAGAAGGAUAGAGGUAGUAACUGGCCUUUAUUUGACGGUAAUCAACCAGAAAGUCACGGCUAACUACGUGCCAGCAGCCGCGGUAAUACGUAGGUGGCAAGCGUUGUCCGGAUUUAUUGGGCGUAAAGCGAGCGCAGGCGGAAGAAUAAGUCUGAUGUGAAAGCCCUCGGCUUAACCGAGGAACUGCAUCGGAAACUGUUUUUCUUGAGUGCAGAAGAGGAGAGUGGAACUCCAUGUGUAGCGGUGGAAUGCGUAGAUAUAUGGAAGAACACCAGUGGCGAAGGCGGCUCUCUGGUCUGCAACUGACGCUGAGGCUCGAAAGCAUGGGUAGCGAACAGGAUUAGAUACCCUGGUAGUCCAUGCCGUAAACGAUGAGUGCUAAGUGUUGGGAGGUUUUCCCGCCUCCUCCAGUGCUGCAAGCUAACGCA
Molecule: ribosomal RNA, 648 nt
Filed under: Lactobacillus crispatus
Lineage: Bacteria; Bacillati; Bacillota; Bacilli; Lactobacillales; Lactobacillaceae
Description: bacterial SSU rRNA
Rfam family: Bacterial small subunit ribosomal RNA
Source: RNAcentral